RNAcentral lists this ribosomal RNA (253 nucleotides) under uncultured bacterium. Its description in RNAcentral is "partial 16S ribosomal RNA". It matches the Rfam family "Bacterial small subunit ribosomal RNA", at positions 524 to 776 of the family's 1533-position model. The record is from RNAcentral.
UACGUGGGGUGCGAGCGUUGUUCGGAAUUACUGGGCGUAAAGCGCGUGUAGGCGGCGAGGCAAGUCUGACGUGAAAGCCCUGGGCUUAACCCAGGAACGGCAUCGGAAACUGCCCCGCUUGAGGCUGGGAGAGGGUCGUGGAAUUCUUGGUGUAGAGGUGAAAUUCGUAGAUAUCAAGAGGAACACCGGUGGCGAAGGCGGCGACCUGGACCAGUUCUGACGCUGAGACGCGAAAGCGUGGGGAGCAAACAGC